AUUGAACGCUGGCGGCAUGCUUAACACACGCAAGUCGAACGGUAACAGGCCCUUCGGGGUGCUGACGAGUGGCGGACGGGUGAGUAACGCUUAGGAAUCUACCUAGUAGUGGGGGAUAACCCGGGGAAACUCGGGCUAAUACCGCGUACGCCCUACGGGGGAAAGCGGGGGACUUUCGGGCCUCGCGCUAUUAGAUGAGCCUAAGUCCGAUUAGCUAGUUGGUAGGGUAAUGGCCUACCAAGGCGACGAUCGGUAGCUGGCUGAGAGGACGACCAGCCACACUGGGACUGAGACACGGCCCAGACUCCUACGGGAGGCAGCAGUGGGGAAUUUUGGACAAUGGGGGCAACCCUGAUCCAGCCAUGCCG
Molecule: ribosomal RNA, 368 nt
Filed under: uncultured bacterium
Lineage: Bacteria
Description: bacterial SSU rRNA
Rfam family: Bacterial small subunit ribosomal RNA
Source: RNAcentral